This 500-nucleotide ribosomal RNA is filed under the name Staphylococcus sp. Bacteria_213. RNAcentral describes it as "bacterial SSU rRNA". It matches the Rfam family "Bacterial small subunit ribosomal RNA", at positions 72 to 556 of the family's 1533-position model. Lineage: Bacteria; Bacillati; Bacillota; Bacilli; Caryophanales; Staphylococcaceae. The record is from RNAcentral.
AAAGGAGCUUGCUCCUUUGAAGUUAGCGGCGGACGGGUGAGUAACACGUGGGUAACCUACCUAUAAGACUGGAAUAACUUCGGGAAACCGGAGCUAAUGCCGGAUAACAUAUAGAACCGCAUGGUUCUAUAGUGAAAGAUGGUUUUGCUAUCACUUAUAGAUGGACCCGCGCCGUAUUAGCUAGUUGGUAAGGUAAUGGCUUACCAAGGCGACGAUACGUAGCCGACCUGAGAGGGUGAUCGGCCACACUGGAACUGAGACACGGUCCAGACUCCUACGGGAGGCAGCAGUAGGGAAUCUUCCGCAAUGGGCGAAAGCCUGACGGAGCAACGCCGCGUGAGUGAUGAAGGUUUUCGGAUCGUAAAACUCUGUUAUUAGGGAAGAACAAAUGCGUAAGUAACUGUGCGCAUCUUGACGGUACCUAAUCAGAAAGCCACGGCUAACUACGUGCCAGCAGCCGCGGUAAUACGUAGGUGGGCAAGCGUUAUCCGGAAUUAUUG